This 448-nucleotide ribosomal RNA is filed under the name Ochromonas sp. CCMP1393. Its description in RNAcentral is "partial Bacterial large subunit ribosomal RNA". It matches the Rfam family "Bacterial large subunit ribosomal RNA", at positions 17 to 519 of the family's 2925-position model. Lineage: Eukaryota; Chrysophyceae; Chromulinales; Chromulinaceae. The record is from RNAcentral.
GCAUUUGGUAGAUGCCUUGGCACUAGAAGGCGAUGAAGGACGUAAUACGCUGCGAUAAGCUUCGGGGAGUUGCGAAUAAAUUUUGAUCCGAAGAUUUCCGAAUGGGGAAACCCACCUAAUUUAUUAGGUAUUGUAUAGUGAAUACAUAGCUAUAUGAGGCAAACCCAGCGAACUGAAAUAUCUAAGUAGCUGGAGGAAAGGACAUCAACCGAGACUCCGUUAGUAGUGACGAGCGAACGCGGACCAGGCCAGUGGCUUCAAAAAAAUAACUAAAACAACAUGGAAAGGUUGACCAUAGAAGGUGAUAGUCCCGUAUAGGUAAAAAGUUUGAAGUCCUUGAGUAAGGCGGGACACGUGAAAUCCUGUUUGAACAUAGGGGGACCACCCUCUAAGCCUAAGUACUCUCUAGUGACCGAUAGUGAACAAGUACCGUGAGGGAAAGGUGAAA